AUUGAACGCUGGCGGCAUGCCUUACACAUGCAAGUCGAACGGCAGCAUGAUCUAGCUUGCUAGAUUGAUGGCGAGUGGCGAACGGGUGAGUAAUACAUCGGAACGUGCCCUGUAGUGGGGGAUAACUAGUCGAAAGAUUAGCUAAUACCGCAUACGACCUGAGGGUGAAAGUGGGGGACCGCAAGGCCUCAUGCUAUAGGAGCGGCCGAUGUCUGAUUAGCUAGUUGGUGAGGUAAAGGCUCACCAAGGCGACGAUCAGUAGCUGGUCUGAGAGGACGAUCAGCCACACUGGGACUGAGACACGGCCCAGACUCCUACGGGAGGCAGCAGUGGGGAAUUUUGGACAAUGGGCGAAAGCCUGAUUCAGCAAUGCCGCGUGUGUGAAGAAGGCCUUCGGGUUGUAAAGCACUUUUGUCCGGAAAGAAAUGGCUCUGGUUAAUACCUGGGGUCGAUGACGGUACCGGAAGAAUAAGGACCGGCUAACUACGUG
RNAcentral lists this ribosomal RNA (490 nucleotides) under uncultured bacterium. Its description in RNAcentral is "partial 16S ribosomal RNA". It matches the Rfam family "Bacterial small subunit ribosomal RNA", at positions 30 to 507 of the family's 1533-position model. The record is from RNAcentral.